Molecule: ribosomal RNA, 253 nt
Filed under: uncultured bacterium
Lineage: Bacteria
Also listed under: 1 other name
Description: partial 16S ribosomal RNA
Rfam family: Bacterial small subunit ribosomal RNA
Source: RNAcentral
UACGUAGGUGGCAAGCGUUGUCCGGAAUUAUUGGGCGUAAAGCGCGCGCAGGCGGCUUCUUAAGUCUGAUGUGAAAUCUCGGGGCUCAACCCCGAGCGGCCAUUGGAAACUGGGAAGCUUGAGUGCAGAAGAGGAGAGUGGAAUUCCACGUGUAGCGGUGAAAUGCGUAGAUAUGUGGAGGAACACCAGUGGCGAAGGCGACUCUCUGGUCUGUAACUGACGCUGAGGCGCGAAAGCGUGGGGAGCAAACAGG